Engraulis encrasicolus (European anchovy) is the source of this 284-nucleotide long non-coding RNA. RefSeq lists it as uncharacterized. The record is from RefSeq and is a predicted model, not a curated record. The transcript is spliced from 2 exons. Lineage: Eukaryota; Metazoa; Chordata; Actinopteri; Clupeiformes; Engraulidae.
AUUUUUUUUUUUUUUGUGUUUUUAGAGGCAGUCAGUCGAUUUCGUACUUCGGAAAUGUUCUUGGAAACAGGUUUUAUGAUUUUUUCUGAAAAAGUGAAAAAGUCACUUUUUCGAAUUUUUUCGCAUAUCGCCGGUCAAGACAUUUUUCAAAAAAUUCGAAAUUCAAAUUUUUUUUUUUUUUUUUUGUGUGUUUCUAGAGGCAGUCAGUCGAUUUCGUACUUCGGAAAUGUUCUUGGAAACAGGUUUUAUGAUUUUUUCUGAAAAAGUGAAAAAGUCACUUUUUC